CUUAUUUUCAUGACAACAUAUUCAUUUGAGUUAACAUUAUAUUAGUGCAAAUUAGAAAAAAUUUUAAAAACAACCCAUAUUUUUUAUUGAUGAUCAAAUAAGUACAAUUUAUAUUUUAUUUUGAAUUGUUAAAAUGACUGAUCUACCCUUACUGUAGAAGUUCACUCAUCUGUUUAUGCAUGUCUGGUAUUAAUAAAUAGUAUAGGUAACUGCAAGUUCCAGUUAAAUUAAUAAAAUAUAUAUUUAUAAUUUGAUUUUAAGAAACUUUAAAACAUCACUCACCAAAUACGCUGAACGACUAGUAAAAGAUAAAUAAUUAAUUUAAACAUUAGAAUCCCUGUUUUGUAUACUUCACCUGUGGUCAUUAUUACUUUUCCUCAGAUAUAAUAUGUACCUAUGUUGCAUCUACAUUAUCCAUUUCACAAUAUGAAUACUUAAACUAUACACAAAGGGAACUUAUUUCUUCAUUUGGAUGUCCAUAUAACAAAACAAUAAGUGCU
This is a non-coding RNA of Cinara cedri, 500 nucleotides long. The record is from the annotation of a GenBank genome assembly. Lineage: Eukaryota; Metazoa; Arthropoda; Insecta; Hemiptera; Aphididae.